Molecule: long non-coding RNA, 875 nt
Organism: Lotus japonicus
Lineage: Eukaryota; Viridiplantae; Streptophyta; Magnoliopsida; Fabales; Fabaceae
Exons: 4
Source: RefSeq, a predicted model, not a curated record
UUGAAUUUUUUUCAGGUGAUGUGGAGAUGGGCUAAACAAUAAGAAUUGAUACAUGCUCUAGUGGGGAUGCUGACAGAGCUUUAGAUUGCCUGUGGCAGAAGAAGAAGGCUGAGAUUAAGCUGCAAUAUAUUUUGCUUUCAAGGUCUAUUUUUGUUAGAGAUAUUUGAGUAUUAAAAUCAACAUAAAGUUGAAACAUUUGUUUGCAGAGAGGAUCAGCCGAGAAAGAACUUUUGCAACAAAGUGAAAGAACUCCGAAUGCCCUUCACCCUCCAAGGCUUUGAUCUCUCAGGUAUCUUCUCCAUAGCUGAUUAUGAUUAUUUCUUUUGCCAAAAACUGAAUCUGGUCCCUUUUCCUUUUUCAGGAACCAUCUUAUUGAAGAGCCUCUACAGGGUCUAUCGUAGGGGGUGGAGAAGGACUGUCAUGUUCAAGGAAAACUUUGCUAAAGAAGAGAUCUAAAGUAGCCAAGGGAGGAAAUGUGUUGAAAGCAAUCAGCAGGAAGUACUUAAGACUCCAAUCAUGUUGUUUUACUGGCUUGGGUUUGACAGUUUUGGAACAUGGCAGUGGUGUCUGAUAAAAGAUGUUGGCAAAGAGUCUGCUAAACCAUUGGAUGACAGUUUCAAACUACUUAUAGUUGUAGAUUUGAAUACAACAAUUGAGAUAACUUUCAAGCAAGUAUCACUUUAGGGUGAAUCAGCAAUUAAUGUAGCUCUCAACAAGGAAAACAAUGAAGAAUCUACAAACAAGAGGUGAAAGACAUAAGAUCAAUUAGGAAUUGUAUCUUGAUGUUGUUUAGUUCUGGAAAUUGUAUUAGAGUGAGUGAUUCCUAAUGACACUACUAUUGCACUUUCACCUAAUAUUGAAUCUUUGUUUUGUUU